Non-coding RNA from Paramormyrops kingsleyae, 5113 nucleotides. NCBI's taxonomy places the organism in Eukaryota, Metazoa, Chordata, Actinopteri, Osteoglossiformes, Mormyridae. The record is from RefSeq and is a predicted model, not a curated record.
GCUGAAACGGCGGCGGCGGCUCGCUGUCUUCAAGGGGGCAGCCCGCACUCCGACUGAGCCGCUGAAGCGACGCGCAUUCUCCGCUCUCCGCCGAUCUCACUUCGCGGACCCCAUCGCCGCUCCGAAACGGGCGGACCUGCCCUUCGUCCACCGGACUCCCACGGCGAGUGGCCACCCCGGGGCGAUCUUUCGCUUUCUCUUUCCUCUUUUCUAAGGGAAAGUGUUGAACGCACGCAAGGACAUUAUUCUCUGAGCUCAGGAGCGUACUCUCCAAGACAUGUGCACAACAAGAGAUUGCCGUGUGAAUGCGCUCCUCUUCAUCUUCAUCCUUUGUGCCCCGAUGGCAUACGGCCAAGGUUACUUCCCUGAGGAGGGGGGUGCUGUCACUCUGGAUGCGGAUGUCAUGGAAAAAGAGAGGGGGCGUGGCCUGGUCCCCACCACCCAUGACACGGACAGAGAGGUCCACGUGGUUACAACCGCCCCUCCCAUCAACAUUCCCAACCACCACCCGCUCUUGAAGGAGUACCUGCUUCCCGAGGCCCUGCUGACGAAGGAUUUCCGGGGCCAGAAGCACUUUUUUGAGGAUGACGGGGGGUCGGAAAGGGACUCCACCAAGCCAUCCUCCAGCUCCCGCGUUGUCAAAGAGCCGCCCACCCACCUGGCCCCACCCGAGGCACGAGACUUCCCCGACAUAGCCUACAGUUUGGCCGGCAGGCCGGCCACCUCUCCUACGGUGAGUGUGGCCCCCAGUUCCCCGGCCCUGCCUGGGUUGGCUGCCCAAGCUGCACUCCUGAACCACGGUGGGAGAACCACCAGCAGGCUGGAGGAGGGAUGGACCACCAACUCCCUCACCACACCUGUCCCGCGCACCUCUGCUGCCCCUCAUCCCAGCAGCGGCGAAACCACCCAGGCUGCUGCCAGUCCCUCGGCCCUGACCACCUUGGCGGCAAAGGUUACCACGGCAACACGGGACGGCCCCCGCCAUGAGGUCACUCCGGUGACAUCAUCCUCCACGGGAGAUGUGGAUUACGAAACGAUUUCCAGCACCAUCAUCACCACCACAAUCAUCACAACUGCACAGACACCAGCUCCAUGCAGCACCAACUUCACCGCCCCAGAGGGCCACAUAGAGGUGCCAGCACAACCUGAAGCAUGGUCCUACCCCGGCCUGGACUGCACCUGCACCAUAUCCGUCUACAUGGGCUACGGAGUGGAGAUUCAGGUAUUGAACGUGAGCCUGUUGGAGGGCGAGAUGGUGACACUGGAGGACCUGGGCUGCCGGGAGCCCUUGGUUCUGGCCAAUGAGUCCAUCCUGAUGAAGGGACUGGUGGUGCGCAGCCAGAGCAACCACAUCGCCGUCCGCUUCCGUAGCGAGCAGCGGCCUCAGCCCGGCUCCUUCCUGCUGAGGUACCAGGCUUUCGUGUUGAGCUGCCCUUUCCCCCAGCGACCAGCCUAUGGUGAUGUGUCCGUCACCAGCCUUCAUGCAGGUGGAGAAGCCUAUUUCUACUGCCUCAAUGGCUACCAGCUUCUGGGUCCCUCGACGCUGACCUGCCGCAAUGCCACCACCCCCUACUGGAGUGGCAGGGAGCCCCGUUGCCUGGCCUCAUGUGGUGGGAUGAUCAAGCCUGCCACUGUGGGCCGCAUCGUGUCCCCCGGUUUCCCAGGCAACUACAGCAACAACCUGACAUGCCACUGGGUGCUGGAGGCCCCCUUGGGCCACCGGCUGCAUAUCCACUUCGAGAAGGUGGCUCUGGCCGAGGAUGAUGACAGACUGCUGAUCAAGAACGGCAACAACAUUGACUCACCACCCCUCUACGACUCCUACGAGGUGGAGUACCUGCCCAACGAGGGCAUCGUCAGCAGCAGCCACCACCUAUUCGUGGAGCUCAUUACCGAUGCGUCAGGAACAUCCACCGGCACAGCCAUUCGAUACGAAGCCUUUGCUCAGGGCCGCUGCUACGAGCCAUUCGUCAAGUACGGCAACUACACCAGCAGCGACGCCAACUACACGGUGGGCGCCGUGGUGGAGUUCUCCUGCGACCCCGGCUACACGCUGGAGCAGGGCUCCGUCCUCAUCGAGUGCAUGGAUCCCAGCAACCCGCAGUGGAACGAGACCGAGCCCGCCUGCAGGGCUGUCUGCAGCGGAGAGAUCACCGACUCGGCUGGAGUUGUCUUGUCUCCCAAUUGGCCCGAGGCCUAUGACAAGGGUCAGGACUGCAUCUGGGGCAUCCAUGUGGAAGAAGACAAGAGGAUCAUGCUGGACAUCCAAGUGCUCCACGUGGGCAAGAACGACGUGCUGACCUUCUACGACGGCGACGACCUGACGGCCAAGGUGCUGGGCCAGUACGCCGGGUCCCGGCCACGUUUCAAACUCUACACCUCCAUGGCUGACGUCAUCAUCCAGUUCCAGUCCGACCCAGCCACCAACGUCUUCGGCUACCACAACGGAUUCGUCAUACACUUCUUUGAGGUCCCCCGCAAUGACACAUGUCCUGAGCUCCCGGAGAUCACCAACGGCUGGAAGAGCACCUCACACCCCGAGCUCAUACACGGCACGGUGGUCACCUACCAGUGCUACCCCGGAUUCGAGCUGCAGGGCACGGAGAUUCUCAUGUGCCAGUGGGACCUGACGUGGAGUGGCGACUUGCCCAGCUGUGAGAAAGUGAGGCUGUGUGCAGACCCCGGCAACGUGGAGCACAGCCGCCGGAUAACGUCAGGCCCCCGGCUAUCGGUGGGCUCCACGGUGCAGUACGUCUGCAACAAGGGCUACAUGCUAUCUGGCAAUAGUCUGCUAACCUGCCACAACCACAACUCCGCUGGGCCCAGGUGGAGCAAGACUCCACCCAAGUGUGUCCCCGAGACCUACGACACCUGCAAAAACCCCGGCACCCCCCCAUUCAGCAUCCAGAGCCAAGAAAAGCCCUUUUACCAGGCUGGGGAGACGCUGCGCUUCACCUGCCUUACCGGCUAUGAGCUGCAGGGGGAGCCGGCUCUCUGCUGUGUCCCCGGACACCCUUCACGGUGGAGUCACCCGCCUCCUGUCUGCCAGGCCUCCGCCGUGGAGUACUCCAAGCGCCGCAUAGAUGUUGCCGGUGCCGACUUCAGUAUAGAAGGAAUAAGCAUAGCAGUGGCGGUCUUCAUCCCCGUCGCGAUCAUCCUGGCUCUGAUCUUCGGGAUUUACCUGUACUUCUCCAAAGUACAAGGGAAGUCCUUCCUCCAACCCAUGUCCAGCUCUGUGCCAUAUAACCACAUCACGCCAGAUUUCGCUUCCAGAGUCCGCAGCUAUGACAACGGACCCCGGCUCGUGAUCUCUGAUUACUAACGGCUGUGUCUGUCUGUCCCACUGCGGCUGCAUCCCUGAAGAACCACGAGGAAACCAGAGAAUACGAGGUUUCCAUUUAGAGACACGAAGCAUUUCAGCAUGGGGGAAAUCAAGCCAUUUUUGCCUUGUGGGAAUUGGUCUGCACCAUUCAUCUCUCCUGUGACUCCUCCAGUACCUCCUCUUUCCAUUCUUCUUCACGUCUCCUGUCUCCUGAUGUAUAUAUUAUUAUUUUCAGAGGACUUCAUGCAAGCACUGCAAAGGAUGUGAAAGACACAGUGUUAUUUUUGUAGAGCUCGUUACCAAUGGCCUAGCUGCAGUGUUUGUAUAUUUUCUAUCCUGUGACAUAGCCCAGCGGGAUUAAGUACUAUAAUAUGUCAUAUGGGAGGGGGGAAAUGCAAUUUUUUUAUCUAUCAAUGUCAGUCAAGAUACUUUGUAAAAGUUACAGGGCAACCGUGGGGAAAAUAUUUAUUUUAAAUGUUUAAUUUAACUGUAGUUCACGAGAUGAAGUAUUUGGUGAAUAUUGGACAAGGAAACGAUGAGCGAAAACUUGGUAUUUAUGGCAACUGCAGUCUUACACUUAUGGUAUUCAAUCCAAAUGUUACACGGCUGCAUAUCUGCAGGACCUCAUCUCUCCAAGGCUUAGCGAGAACUUGCUGUUGAUUUGAAAGUUCCAGUUCCUGGGAAAGUUUCAGUUACAGGUCUCCCAGCUGUGCCAUCUAACUGUGGUGGAAAUAAAUGGAAAAAGAUUUGUAAAUCACUUGCGCAAUACCAAUUAGAGACAGGUCUCAGCUUGUCAGUGAGUGUGCAUAUUUCCAUGGGGACCCACAAAGAGCAUUUAUCGUGCUCUCUUGAGUGUCUCACUAUUACUCAUCCCUCAGACUUUUAGAGUGGCACAAAUACCUGCCUAUGGUUUCCAUCUUCCCAAGGUGAUAAAACUGUCAAAUUUAUGGGAAGAAAAUAGCUAUAAAUUUCUGUAUGAAGGGUAAGUACAGUAUUCCUGCAUUAUUACACCCCUUGCCAUUUAAUGUUCAACUUUUUGCCUUGGGAUUGUUUGUGCCUGUGCUGUAGGAUGUUGGGUGUCAAGCUGCCAAACAUUGGGAUUAGCCAUUACGAAAGGUAAUUUGCCAGAAGGUUCUUUCAGUGUCAUGUGUGACUGUGUCGAAUAUCGGUUUUUACAUUCUAAGAGGUCCGUUGUUUGACACGACAACAAACCCUGGCUGUCAAAGCCACUGUGAACGUGGGACAUAACGCCUCAUGCAGGCCUCAGAUUCUGGAGGAGAGUGACUUGGGCUGCCUCUCAGUAGACCUGAUGUACAAUCUGGAAAAAAACUGCAUCUGCUUUUGGUUGUCAGUUAAGUGACCAGCUACUUCAAAAAUAUAGCUGUAACACCGUGCGAUUGGAGCAUCGAGAAAAGUGGAACCAGCUAAAGGUAGAUUAAACAUCAGAGGAAAUUGGGGAGUUUCAGUGAGUCCAUCAAACUAAGUCAGUUCACUUAUAAAUAUAUUUAUUUCCACAAUUUUAAUUCAUGUAUACUUAUAGGGAUUGUAUAAAAGGCAAUAAUCAAUUAACAUGGCCAGAUAGGGUUUCACAAAUUCGCUGUGCCAUUUGCACAGAAUAUUGUAUUGUUUGUAGGAGGGUGCUUAUGACAUCACCACACAUCUGUCUGCCUGGUGUGACUGGAUAGUAAAUAAUGCACUAUAACCACUACUGUAAGGAAUGCAGUACAAUUCACAUCACACUGUUCAUGCGAUUACCUUCAUACUUUGAAAUAAUAAACUUGUGUAAAUGUA